This is a long non-coding RNA of Hordeum vulgare subsp. vulgare (domesticated barley), 907 nucleotides long. RefSeq lists it as uncharacterized. The record is from RefSeq and is a predicted model, not a curated record. The transcript is spliced from 2 exons. NCBI's taxonomy places the organism in Eukaryota, Viridiplantae, Streptophyta, Magnoliopsida, Poales, Poaceae.
UUCUUUUGAUGAGCCCGCUGCUAGUGGAGCAGGUCUCCUUUUUUGCUUCUGUUUCCCAGUCAGUAGGUGUGUUUCCUCCCGGACGAACGACGGAGUAUAGCAAUUACACCGAGCAAACUCGUUUGCUCCUCUAGGCUACGGUGAGAUUAUUCUCGAUGAGGUAGUUUGCAGCAAAUUGGUUUUCAGACUCUAGUCGGAUUCGUUGAUGAAGGAGAGGCGUCAGCGGCAAGGCCCAAGGCCUCGGCAGUAAGGUGUGACGACGAUUUACGGGCAUGCAGGAGGAGCGUGCGGCGGGCUAGGGAUUCCAACAUCGGCAAGAGGUGUGCGGCCGUGGCGCGCAUUGAGGCAGGUGGUGGAGCGAGGCGCACGGCGACGGGCACGGCAGGCGCAGCGCCGCGCAGCAGCCAGAUCUGCGGCUGAAGGCGGAGGUGCGGCAGGUUGGAGCAUGCGGAGACGAAGGCGAAGGCAUGGCGCGACCGAUGCAGCCGGGCGAGUUGAAGCGAAAACUGCAGUUGUGGAGAAGACCAGUAGGGGAGGAGACGGCAAGGCGGCCGGCGGCUUGGUGGGUGUGUUUGAGCGCAGACUGCGCGGGGCAGGCGAGCGGAUGGCCGGAGCUCAUCGCUAUACAGCGGGUUGAGUCGACCGUAAGAGCGGCGGCUCAGAGGAUGUUGUGGCUCGGGGUCGGCUUAAUACAGGGCGACACCGUCCCAGACCGAGAUGAACUCGGAGCGAGGCGGAGGCGCAUCACCAGCAUGGUAGGGCAGCUUGCGACGAAGCCAGCAGCAGUCGCGACGAGACCGAGUCUGCCUCUGAAUAGUGGUCUUUCUUCCAAUAGCUUCAUGUACGCGAUGUUUGAUACUGGACGCUGUUUUUGCUUUUAAUUUGAUAUGAGGGAACAGUCGCCUUA